GACAGAGGAUGCAAGCGUUAUCCGGAAUGAUUGGGCGUAAAGCGUCUGUAGGUGGCUUUCAAGUCCGCCGUCAAAUCCCAGGGCUCAACCCUGGACAGGCGGUGGAAACUACCAAGCUGGAGUACGGUAGGGGCAGAGGGAAUUUCCGGUGGAGCGGUGAAAUGCAUCGAGAUCGGAAAGAACACCAACGGCGAAGCACUCUGCUGGGCCGACACUGACACCUGAGGAGACCGAAAGCUAGGGGAGCAAAUGGGAUUAGGAUACCC
This 266-nucleotide ribosomal RNA is filed under the name uncultured bacterium. RNAcentral describes it as "partial 16S ribosomal RNA". It matches the Rfam family "Bacterial small subunit ribosomal RNA", at positions 524 to 787 of the family's 1533-position model. The record is from RNAcentral.